Molecule: long non-coding RNA, 2533 nt
Organism: Falco peregrinus (peregrine falcon)
Lineage: Eukaryota; Metazoa; Chordata; Aves; Falconiformes; Falconidae
Exons: 2
Source: RefSeq, a predicted model, not a curated record
GGCACUGAUCGUCCCCCUGUACGUGGCACAGGUGAGGCCGCACCUUGAACACUGUGUUCAGUUUUGGGCCCCUCACUGCAAGAAAGCCACUGAGGUGCUGGAGUGUGUCCAGGGAAGGGCAACAAAGCUGGUGAAGGGUCUGGAGCACAAGUCUGAGGAGCGGCUGAGGGACCUGGGGCUGUUUAGCCUGGAGAAAAGGAGGCUGAGGGGAGUCCUUGUGCUCUACAACUACCUGAAAGGAGGUUGUAGCCAGGUGGGUGUCAGUCCCUUCUUCCAAGUAACAAGUGAUGGAACAAGAGGAAAUGGCCUCAAGCUGUGCCAGGGGAGGUUUAGAUUGGAUAUUAGGAAAAACGUCUUCACAGAAAGGGUUGUCAAGCAUUGGAAUGGGCUGCCCAGGGAAGUGGUUGAGUCCCUGUUCCUGGAGGGAUUUAAAAGACAUGUAGAUGUGGCAUUUAGGGACAUGGUUUAGUGGUGGACUUCGGCAGUGCUAGGUUUCUGGUUGGACUGAGUCAUCUUAAAGGUCUUUUCCAACCUAAAUGAUUCUAUGAUUCUGUGGAAUCUCUUUCAAAAAAUUCUUACCUCCCCAGCUUCUUUACCCAAAACCUGACCUGCCCAGGUAUCCAGUAGGACUUCAAGUAUAACAGGAUCUUUUCAGUUUACAUUUGUUGCUCUGUUUUGCAUAAACCAUUUUUUACUUUUUGCAAAUGAUCCUGAUGUUCUUGGAUAAACCUAAUUGCUUUGGUUUAUCUCACUAUGAUUUAUAAAAUGAUACUGUGUUUAGUAAGCAUUUGGAUAUUCUGUUUGUUCGGAUGGGAGGUACAGUGCCACAUACUAGCACUUGUCUAAUCUCAUCUAGUCUGAUCCCUAGAAGUAAAUACCAAAUCCACAUGUCAAGAAUCUUUAUUCCAUACGUAGGAUGGGAAAAGGUUUCAUGUUGGCAAAGUUGUUUGUAACAUCUUUUACCCAUAUUGUAUCAAAUGUAAUUUAUCAUCAGAGCAAAGUUAGGCAAAUCAUAGAAUAGUUUGGGCUGGAAGGGACCUUUAAAGGUCAUCUAGUCCAGCCCCCCUGCAACGAGCAGGGACAUCUUCAACUAGAUCAGGUUGCUCAGAGCCCCAUCCAGUCUGUCCUUGAAUGUUUCCAAGGAUGUGGCAUCUACUGCCUCUCUGGGCAACUGGUUCCAGUUUCACCACCAUUGUCGUAAAAAAUUUCCUCCUUCUAUCUAGUCUGAAUCUGCCCUUUUUUAGUUUAAAAUCAUUACCCCUUGUCCUAUUGCAGCGGGCCCUACUGAGAAGUUUGUCCCCAUCUUUCUUACAAGCUCCCUUUAAGUACUGAAAGGCUGCAAUAACGUCUCCCUGGAGCCUUCUCUUCUCCAGGCUGAACAACUCUCUCAGCCUGUCUUCAUAGGAGAGGUGCUCCAGCCCUCUGACCAUUUUUGUGACCCUCCUCUGGACACGGUCCAAAGGAUACUGGGGCUUUAAUUUUACUUUACAGUGAAUUAAAAAAAUGCUUUCCGUUUGGGAGUUGGUGGAAGAUGAAGUAUUCUGAAAAGAGCUAGUGAACCAUCUGAAAGUAGAAAAGGGGGCUGAAUUAAACAAAAUGGUUUUUUCUUUCUGACUGGGACCAGGAAUAAUAUUUUCCUUAACAGUUGAAGGAUUCCAUUAUAGUAGAAAAAUUGAAUUAUUUUUGUUUUGAAGUGGUUGAAACAAUGUUUAUAUUUAAUCUUUUUUUUCUGAGCAGGCAGUCUGGGAAAUUAAUACAGAUUAUUGAACUACAUUAAUGUGACAGGAUCUGCACUUUUCCCUUGAAAAAUAAUUUAGGCGAAAAUUUUCACUCUGCAUUAGACUGUGUCAGUAGAAUUAACUGGGAUCAGUUGACAUAUUCUUAACAUGAGAAAUCUGCUUAAUGCAUUUUAACGUUAUGGCUAUUAGCAUAUUCCUAGUGUUGCUUUAUAUCAGUGUAGUCUAGGCCACAGGUACAUACGUAGACUUGCAGAGCAGUAUUUAAUUUUGUAAUGGCAUUGGGAAUGGUUGGCUGUGAGUUCAAGCAGCUUCAAAACUGGAAAAUAAAUAUUUUGAGCUAGUAAGGAAUCUUUGUAAAUUGCUGUGGAAAAGACUUUAAUGACUAGAGCAAAUGAGACAAACGAGCAUUAGUGGAAAAUGUUUCCAGUAGUGGUUCUGCAAGAGAUGUGCCUCGGUGGGUGGCAUCUGUGGCACAGAAGAGUAGAUCCAUGUGCCGUAGGGUGGACAGCGGAUUUGAAAACAAAUGGAGUGUAUAGAUAAGUGGUGGUCUCUGUAGGUCUGGCGAAAGCAGCUGCUGGGGCAUAGCAAGUCUCCACUCAUUGCUCUUGGUCCGGUAUCUGUUAUGUCUCUGAAGUGCCUAUUAAAUAUAUCUUGCAAACAUCAGUGUGGGCCUGAUUGAGCCACAGGUAUGACCAGCUGUUACGCUUUUGGGUAGGUAUUUAAUAUUUGUUGUGAUCUUCAUCUGACAUAUUUCAGCAAUAAAAUGUACCAUACUGAUUGUCAAGUGAACUUCA